RNAcentral lists this ribosomal RNA (460 nucleotides) under uncultured Porphyromonas sp. Its description in RNAcentral is "bacterial SSU rRNA". It matches the Rfam family "Bacterial small subunit ribosomal RNA", at positions 338 to 795 of the family's 1533-position model. The record is from RNAcentral. Lineage: Bacteria; Pseudomonadati; Bacteroidota; Bacteroidia; Bacteroidales; Porphyromonadaceae.
CCUACGGGAGGCAGCAGUGAGGAAUAUUGGUCAAUGGGCGAGAGCCUGAACCAGCCAAGUCGCGUGAAGGAUGACUGUCUUAUGGAUUGUAAACUUCUUUUGUAGGGGAAUAAAGACUAGUACGUGUACUGGAGUGAAUGUACCCUACGAAUAAGCAUCGGCUAACUCCGUGCCAGCAGCCGCGGUAAUACGGAGGAUGCGAGCGUUAUCCGGAUUUAUUGGGUUUAAAGGGUGCGUAGGCGGCCUGUUAAGUCAGCGGUGAAAUCUAGGAGCUUAACUCCUAAAUUGCCAUUGAUACUGGCGGGCUUGAGUGUAGAUGAGGUAGGCGGAAUGCGUGGUGUAGCGGUGGAAUGCAUAGAUAUCACGCAGAACUCCGAUUGCGAAGGCAGCUUACUAAGGUACAACUGACGCUGAAGCACGAAAGCGUGGGUAUCAAACAGGAUUAGAUACCCCAGUAGUC